RNAcentral lists this ribosomal RNA (1201 nucleotides) under metagenome. Its description in RNAcentral is "bacterial SSU rRNA". It matches the Rfam family "Bacterial small subunit ribosomal RNA", at positions 304 to 1520 of the family's 1533-position model. The record is from RNAcentral.
CCAGCCACACUGGGACUGAGAACUACCCAGACUCCUACGGGAGGCUGCAGUCGAGAAUUUUGGGCAAUGGGCGAAAGCCUGACCCAGCAAUGCCGCGUGCGGGAUGAAGGUCUUCGGAUUGUAAACCGCUGUCGAGGGGGACGAAAUUUGACGGUACCCCUAGAGGAAGCCACGGCUAACUACGUGCCAGCAGCCGCGGUAAUACGUAGGUGGCGAGCGUUGUUCGGAUUUAUUGGGCGUAAAGGGUCCGCAGGGGGUUGAUUAAGUCUGACGUGAAAUCCCUGAGCUUAACUCAGGAACUGCGUUGGAGACUGGUUGACUAGAGUGUUGGAGAGGUGAUUGGGAUUCCAGGUGUAGCGGUGGAAUGCGUAGAUAUCUGGAAGAACAUCGAAAGCGAAGGCAGAUCACUGGACAAUGACUGACCCUCAGGGACGAAAGCAUGGGGAGCAAACAGGAUUAGAUACCCUGGUAGUCCAUGCCCUAAACGUUGUCAACUUGAUGUGAGCGGAAUUACUCCCGUUCGUGUCGAAGCUAACGCGAUAAGUUGACCGCCUGGGAACUACGGCCGCAAGGCUAAAACUCAAAGGAGUUGACGGGGGCCCGCACAAGCGGUGGAGCAUGUGGCUUAAUUCGAGGCAACGCGAAGAACCUUACCUAGAUUUGACAUAUACCGGACCGGUGUAGAAAUACACUUUCCCGCAAGGGUCGGUAUACAGGUGCUGCAUGGCUGUCGUCAGCUCGUGCCGUGAGGUGUUCGGUUAAGUCCGGCAACGAGCGCAACCCGUGUCAUUAGUUACCAUCAGGCAAUGCUGGGGACUCUAAUGAGGCUGCCUGUGUUAAGCAGGAGGAAGGCGCGGAUGACGUCAAGUCCGUAUGGCCUUUAUAUUUAGGGCUGCACACGUGCUACAAUGGCUGGUACAGAGGGAAGCAAGAUCGCGAGAUGGAGCUGAUCCGUAAAGCCAGCCUUAGUUCAGGUUGCAGUCUGCAACUCGACUGCAUGAUGCCGGAAUCGCUAGUAAAGGCGUAUCAGCUACGACGCCUUGAAUACGUUCCCGGGCCUUGUACACACCGCCCGUCACAUCAUGGGAGCUGAUUGCACCCGAAGUCGCUGACUCGACCUGCAAAGGGGAGAGGCGCCUAAGGUGCGGUUAGUGACUGGGAUGAAGUCGUAACAAGGUAGCCGUUGGGGAACCAGCGGCUG